This 7230-nucleotide long non-coding RNA is filed under the name Nasonia vitripennis (jewel wasp). RNAcentral describes it as "uncharacterized LOC116416698". The record is from RNAcentral. Lineage: Eukaryota; Metazoa; Arthropoda; Insecta; Hymenoptera; Pteromalidae.
GGAUAACAUAACCUCUAAUGUCAAUGUUUACAUGUCAUUUAUUGGAUCUGAUAAAAUCUAAUAUCUAAAAGAUAUAGUGAAAUUUAUAAUAUAAAAAUACUAUAAAUAUAUACUGUAAAAACAGUGUUUUCAUAAUAAAUUUAUAUUUUUAUAUAGUGUGUGCAUAAUGGAUUAUUCAAGACAGCCUCACAGAAAAGUUGAUUCAAGAAAUUAUAUCGGCAGAAAAAAAGAUCUAAAUUUUGUUCUGCUAAUAAAAAAUUAAAAAGUUCUUCUGCCCGUAAACUGUCGUCUCUAGAUUAUCCUGAGGUUGAUUUCGAAGGUUAUAGAAUCUUUGAUAUGAGACUUUUGUUUACAUUCUUAGAGAACAAUUUGAUGUGUAAGUGUGGUGGAAAUAUAAAAUUUUAUGAAAUAAAAUGUCAUGGAUUAGGUGGCAAUUAUUCUAUUACGUGUGAUAAGUGUUUUCAUAAGAAGAAUUUUCACCACUGUAAAAAAAUUUGAAAAAAUUCAAAUAUUUUUGAAAUCAAUAGACGCAGUGUCCUAGCUAUGAGACUGGUUGGUGGUGGCCUUGAAAGUCUGAGAACUUUUUGUGGAGUAAUUGACUUUCCUCGUCCAAUUCAAAAUGCAACUUUUACUAAAAUACGUAAUGUGCUUUUUGAAGUUACAUCAAGAGUUGCGGAUAAGUUUAUGUCUGAAGCUGUAGACGAAGAACUUCUACUUACACGUACUAAUUUACAAAAUAAUAUAUGUGAACCUGAAAUUGUUAAUCCAGAAGCUAUUAGUCAACUGAGUAUUGAAGAUUUAGAUGAAAAUAUGUUAGAUGAUGAAUCAGAUGUUACGAAUACUCCAGAUUAAAUCGUAGCUUGUAAACCAGAAAUAGGUGUUCAAGGUCAUGGUACGUGGCAGCGUCGAGGUCAUAGAUCCUACAAUGGAGUUUUUACAAUCUUGGGUCAAGAAAGUGGAAAGAUUAUUGAUUUAGAAGUUCUUUCUUCUUACUGUUUACAAUGCAACCAGUAUGAAAAAGUGUAUGGAUCAGAAGGUACUAAAGAAUGGGAAAUGGGAAACAGCACACACUUACCAUUAUGUACAAAAAACCAUUGGGGUUCUUCUGGGUCAAUGGAGUCUUCAGCGAUUGUGGAUAUUUUUAGUCGAUAAAUAGAAAAAUAUAAUGUAAAAUAUGUGUCGUUUUAGGAGAUGGAGAUUCGUCAACAUUUUCAAACAUUAUAAUAUCUAAACCUUAUGGAAAUCAUGUGACAAUAAGUAAGAAAGAGUGUUGUGGUCAUGUUCAAAAACUCUUUGGAACGCAGCUCAGAAACUUGAAGAAAAACAAAAAACUUGGAGGAAAAGGAAAACUGACCGAUAAGAUUAUAGAUAUACUACAAACUUACUAUGGCAAUGCUAUUAGAGCACACCCGGAUUCAAUAGAAGACAUGACUAGAGCAAUUUGGGCAAUUUUUUAUCACAAAACCUCAACUAAUCAAAAUCCUCAGCACAUGCACUGUCCUCCUGGAUCCGACUCUUGGUGUAAAUACCAAAAAGCAGUAGCUGAACGUAAACAAGAUGAGUAUGUUCAUCCAUGAACACUACCAGAAGAAAUUUUCAACGAGAUCAAGGUUGUAUUUGAAAAAUUGUCGGAGCCAGAGCUUCUAAGAAAAUCUUUGGGUGGAAAAACUCAGAAUGCUAAUGAGUCCUUUAAUAAUGUUUUGUGGAAUAUUGCUCCUAAAACGGACUUUGUUGGACUUGAGAAUCUACAAAUAUCUGCCUUCUUAGCUUGUAUAAUGUUUUCAAGUGGCUGGAAAGGAUUACUGUAUCUUAUAUCAGAGUUGAAUAUCAAACCUGGCAAAAAUGCAUUAUUCGCUGCAGUAACAAAAGAUCAAGCACGUAUCAAAGAUGCUGAAAUACAAGCAGAGUGUAAUACAAAAGAGACAGGAAAAUUGAGAAGACUGUUACUUAUUUCAACUGUUGAUGAUGGUGCAUAUGUCAGUGGCGGGCACUAAAAUGUUAUUUCUAAUCAAAUUGUAUAAACAGUAUACAGUAUACACAGUAAUAUAGUAUAACCUAUAAAAAGUUUUACAGAACUGCAGUUACAUUAAAUACAGGUUGUGAUCUACUAAAGUUAAAGUAUAGUGCUAGAACUCCAAAUAAAUGUAAAAAAGUAGUAGAACAACAUAUUGUAAUAUAUUUAAUAUAGAAUUAUGAUGCAAAUUUCAGAAAAAUAAUGAAAACACGUUUUUGUAUUAUUUUAAAUAUUAUUCUAAUAAUGCUUUCAAUACCCUGCAUUUUUCUUUGAGUACCGCAGAAUUCAGACUAAACGGAUCAAUGAAUUGUACCAAACCAAGGCUUGUUCUGUUCAUUAGACAUCUCUCUACGGAGUGAGUGUGGGAUUUUGUAAAAUACUGACAGCGUAUAAAGUUAUAGCUUUUUAAAGUUAAAAAUUACAAAAAUUUGGGCUUUAAGAAGCUAUAACUUUAUACGCUGUCAGUAUUUUACAAAAUCCCACACUCACUCCGUAGAGACAUGUCUAAUGAACAGAACAAGCCUUGGUUUGGUACAAUUCAUUGAUCCGUUUAGUCUGAAUCCUGCGGUACUCAAAAAAAUAGCAUGUUUUACACUGCAGCAGUUUUUAAGACAAUAUAUCUAUUGAGACAUAUAUAAAAAAUUAUGUCUACAGUUUUUUACAUUAUAAUAUUAAAUUAAAUAAUUACUUUACAUUUUGGCAUAAAAAAUCAUUCAGUUUUACAAAAAACAAGACAUUAUUGUAAUAAUUAUUUUAAGGUGGUUAGGUCCACUUAAAAGGACUGAUUUUUUCAACUAUUAUAGAGACUAUGAAGAGGAUGACGACGACGAUGACGACGACGAUGACGACGAGGACGAUGAUGAGUCAUUCGGUGGCGGUGACUCUACUCUUGGCGUACCGAGCCAAGAAGCCACUAGGAACGGUGAAUGAGGCCUCUCGAUCUCACCUGACGCCUCCCGAUCAGAUGUCGUGAAGAGUCGUCGUCUCGUCGAAUCUUGCUCUUGUCGCGGUCGUGCUCUUGGAGAGUCGCGGGGUCUGAUGACUCGUCGUCUCGGCAUGUCUGCGAAGAAUGAGCUCUCUCUCGAUCUUGCGCAGAUACUUAUACUUUUGCGGUGGUGGUGGUGGGGGCAUAUAUUCGUAUUCUACGUUGUGAGAAUUUAGUGGCCCUGAAAAGGGCCGAUUGUUUCCUACUGGAAAAAUCUCUGGUCGACGAGAUCCCAGAAUGUUCUAACUCGACUCGAGUUUGGCGAGGCUCGAUGUCGAGCUAGCAGAGCAGCAGCUUCCGAGCAAAUUCUCACAAUUUCCACAAUCAUCGCGAGUUUAAGACUAGCAAGCUCUUGACGUUCCUUUCGCUCUCUGAUGCUCAAUCGUCUUGGACAGCACAUGUUGGCAGUCAAAAAGCGAAUGACAGUAUGCAGCUGUCAUCGCUGAAUAUAAGUGUAUGCUCGUAGAAGAGUGGAGGGGAGUAAUAGAAUAUUCUACGUUUAAUAUUUUGGUGGCCCUGAAAAGGUUUGAUUUUUUACUGCUGCUGCUAACUGUCGUCGUUAUCGUCGUCCUCAUUCAUGUCGAGAUAGAAAGUUUGAAUGUGGUACAACACCUCAAACAUUUCUUCACGAUCACGAAUGUCCUCUCCUUAAAUGCAGCUCUUGUCUCGCGCUCUUUAUUAUGCGAGAUAGUGUCUCCCGUCGAAGCGUGCGCUCGCAAGAAAGUUACUUCUUACAGUUUGUUUCACGUUUGAAUUAUACUUCUAGUCCUGAAAAGAACUGAUGGAAAUUUCAUGCGACCUUCGGUCGAUGAGACGCAUUGCGCUGGUAAGAGCCGAGUCGCUCGCAUCUCCGCCUGCGAUAAUUCUCUCUCUCUCUCUCUCUCUCUCUCUCUCUCUCUCUCUCUCUCUCUCUCUCUUGUGACGAGAUUAGCUCGUCAUCACUGUGCACAGAAUCCUCGCCUCGCUCUCGUUACUGGAGUCGCCCCAAUGGCAGUAAUUGCUAAUAUUUUGGGUGAUUGUAGUAGUAACGAGAGGAGAGAGGAGUCGUGGCCAGCAGCUUCAUCGCACGUCAGUCACCGGAGCAGACGACGCAAUCGCACACUCGGCUGACCAGAGCGGCAACUCCCGGAUCCGAGCAGCGCUGCUUUGACUCCCGUCAACGGAAGCAAGCGCGCCGAGACCACGAGGCAGCAACGCUGGAGAGUCGGCAGUGCGGAGAGGGGGAAACCGCACGGCCAGCAGCACGACGAGUCAACAGCUGCGCGCGCGCGCCGAGUGUAUAGCGAUACGUAUGCCGAGGCCCGACUGUUUUGGAGUGGAGGGAGAAGACCCGAUUGGCAACCGGUGGAGGCGCGCCUGCUAACAUCUGAGAUAGAUGUGUAGAGGGCAUAAGCCCAGUUCAUACUGGCGCCGUUGUACGCGGCUCAGAGCCAGAAAUAUGAUGAAAACAAGGGCGUGAGAGAGUGAGAGAAUGAGUCGCGGUUCGAAUCGCGCGCGUAUUGACUUCUGUAUCGACGUCUGUUUAGUCGCCUGCGUGCGAGAAAUAUCGAUUAUCGACAGGCUCGAUGAGGUCCUUGUGGCGGAGAGACCCGCGACGCGAGCAUUGUAGUUCCGGACAGCAACGAGCACGAAACCUGGAGUAGAUCCCCCCGGUUUUGAUUAACUGUACGAGAGAGUUCUUCGCGAGUUCGCUUUUCUUAGAGGACGAGACAUCAUCAGGAGGAGAGGAAGUAACAGUUGUGAUGCGGAAAUUGGUAGCCAGGUUAGUAAGACUCAUGGUGUCGAGAACUCGUAGGGAAGCUAGUGGCCGCCGGGAACGAGCAUUCAUUGAUGCCACGUGGCGCGAGGGAAUUUCGAAGUACGCGGCGCGACGAGAAUUGUGUGAGUGAGAGUGAGUUUCAAAGUCAGAAUUAACGCAUUCUAUUAGAAGUUGAGUUGUAUAAUUUGUGGUCAGACAAAGAGUAAAUAAAAAUUCUUUCUUACUUUAGUACUUAAAUAUCGAGCAAAGUGUUAUUUAGUCCCUAAUCACCCGCUAUUUCGCAUAGUCGUAAGACCGGGAGUAUCACCCGAAAUACUUUGUGUUCGUCAUCUGAACCUCCUCGCGAGGGAAAGAGUUUCACAGCCGCGGUAGAAGGCGAGAGUAUUGUGUCGCGGGUAAAGUGUAGUUCGGCCUGGCGCCCUGUUAUUAAUAAAUUCGGCCGGAUUAUUCUUUUAUUGUCAACGUUGGUGUUCGGGAGUUGUUCGCUGGGCCCUCCAUCCCAGUGAGCAUCCGCCACGUCACACUCUCUCUCUCUCUCUCUCUCUCUCUCUCUCUCUCUCUGCCGCUGUCGUCCGCUCGCCACCGCCGUUGAGAAUGUGACUCUAGUCCGCGCGCGCUCCCGUUUUAUUGAGAGAGCGCGGCUGGCGAGACAGUGGGGAACUCUGUCGUGGUUGCUGCCGCCGUCGCUUCAUCUUUGUGGCUCGAGUCCCCGCUGCGCGACUCGUAAGAGAGUGGAGAAAUCUGCCGCCGCCGCUGUUGCGGCUCUUGUUCCGUGCGCUCGUUCUUUAUGAUGCGGCUGGCAAUAUAGUGGGGGACAUCUGCCGUUGACUGCUCGUCGCGUUCUAUCCUACGCUAUAGUUCUGAAAAGAACUGUUUCAUUCUCACUUUCAUUCUCACACGUCUUUUAUUUCUACGUUAAAAUUUGUUUGUAGUCCUGAAAAGGACUGCUUGAUUAUUUGUGCCGUCUUUGGCCGAAGGUCACCGCUGCUGUCAUCGUCCGCUCGCUACUCCAUAGUAAAUGGAACUUUGUCUCCGCGCGCGAGGUAGUUGAGAGAAAGCCUCUCGCUACUGCUACCGUCCGCUAUCGAGACUCUAGACCCGCUGCGUGGCUCGCGAGAUGGGGGAAUCUGCCGCCGCCGUUGCUCUGCUGCUGCUGCUGCUCCCAUGACGAACGAUGAAUGACUGAUAGCACUCGUCAAAACGCGCUCCCUUGGGAGGAAAAAACUUUUUCCUUCAAGGGAAUAGUUUUUUCCCGCUGCUAAGAAAAACGCGAUUUUUCAUUUAUUUUACAUGCAUGGAAACAUGCAUGGCCUUUUUCAUUCAUACCAGUCAUAUAGAUAUACAACCUGUGCUACUCGAUAAUAUCUUAUGCUGCUUAAUGACUAAUAACGCGAGACCAAACACAAUAAGUAUCAAGAUAUGUAAACCAUUUUAUUAAUCCCCAAUACUUUUAUCCUCUCCUGUACAAUACUUUUUAUAUCCAUCUUCUCGUUAUUUAGCAACGCCCGAUGUUCGUUUUGAAUCGCGUUCGAUUGUUUAUUGUUUAUUUUAGCUGACGUUAUGCGCACGGAAGGAAAGCGUACUUUAAAGUAUCUUUUUCUCUAGGAUCCCGUCGACGGCUGCUAUCUAGCUCGCUUCCGCGCAGACGGUAUCAAAAACUAUAACCGGUAAUUUUCUCAGACUUCUAUGCACAGCCGUUUUUCUAAAAGUUGAGAGCAAAGGAGCGCGUCAAUUUAACACGGUUAGUAUAUCUAUAUAACUAGUGUGGUGGCCCCUUAAUGGCACGAUGCAACAUAUACACGAAGACUAGCACAACUCAAACUUUAAACAACGAAUUUCUAUGAAAAUUUCCCGAUUUUUGCGAAACGGUCCCUAAUGAACAUUUUUAAAUAUUCACAAUUUACAACUUUUUACCGAAUUUAAAAUUGUUUUCCCAACCCAAACACAAUAAUUUUUUACAAACAUAUUUUUAAUCAUUCACUUUUUUCAGAAAUUUCCGAAACCUAUUAAAACUUUGAGGUUUGUCUGUCUUUGUCCAAGGUUUUCAUGAACUUAACCAACCAAAUAACUCAAUAAAAACGUAAAAUACUCACAUUUUAAGUAAUAUAAAGUCGCGAGUUCUGCUACUCUUCACGGCAAAUCGUGAGUUGUGCUAGUUUUUGUUUGAAAAUUUGAACUGUGCUAGUCUUCGUAGGGAGCAACGAUAUAUUAGGGGCUUUCAAGGACUAUGAAGUAUGUAUCAGAUAUGCAUUUUGUAUUUAGGAAAAAUAUGUUUAUUUCAAAGCAAAACUAAGAUAAUCUAAACUGAAUAUUUUAUGCUUUUAUUUAAAAAAAUAUAUACCUAUGCAUGAUAAUAUAUUUAAUUAUUGAAGGAAAAGAUAAAUAUAAAUUUCAUAAUUUUAAGGGUAUAUUUGGCCAGUACUGUGGCUUAGCUUUGUCUAUGUGCCUUUCAAUUGUGGUUUGAAGGGCUGU